This 87-nucleotide transfer RNA is filed under the name Hyphomonas sp. Its description in RNAcentral is "tRNA-Leu". It matches the Rfam family "tRNA". Rfam says of the family: Transfer RNA (tRNA) molecules are approximately 80 nucleotides in length. Lineage: Bacteria; Pseudomonadati; Pseudomonadota; Alphaproteobacteria; Hyphomonadales; Hyphomonadaceae. RNAcentral also lists the same sequence under 4 other names. The record is from RNAcentral.
GCGGGCGUGGCGAAAUUGGUAUACGCAAGGGACUUAAAAUCCCUCGGCCGCAAGGCCUUGCCGGUUCAAGCCCGGCCGCCCGCACCA